RNAcentral lists this ribosomal RNA (427 nucleotides) under uncultured bacterium. RNAcentral's name for it is "partial 16S ribosomal RNA". It matches the Rfam family "Bacterial small subunit ribosomal RNA", at positions 355 to 774 of the family's 1533-position model. The record is from RNAcentral.
UGGGGAAUAUUGAACAAUGGGCGCAAGCCUGAUGCAGCCAUGCCGCGUGUAUGAAGAAGGCCUUCGGGUUGUAAAGUACUUUCAGCGGGGAGGAAGGCGAUAAGGUUAAUAACCUUGUCGAUUGACGUUACCCGCAGAAGAAGCACCGGCUAACUCCGUGCCAGCAGCCGCGGUAAUACGGAGGGUGCAAGCGUUAAUCGGAAUUACUGGGCGUAAAGCGCACGCAGGCGGUCUGUCAAGUCGGAUGUGAAAUCCCCGGGCUCAACCUGGGAACUGCAUUCGAAACUGGCAGGCUAGAGUCUUGUAGAGGGGGGUAGAAUUCCAGGUGUAGCGGUGAAAUGCGUAGAGAUCUGGAGGAAUACCGGUGGCGAAGGCGGCCCCCUGGACAAAGACUGACGCUCAGGUGCGAAAGCGUGGGGAGCAAACA